Molecule: transfer RNA, 72 nt
Organism: Piloderma croceum F 1598
Lineage: Eukaryota; Fungi; Basidiomycota; Agaricomycetes; Atheliales; Atheliaceae
Rfam family: tRNA
About the family: Transfer RNA (tRNA) molecules are approximately 80 nucleotides in length. Their secondary structure includes four short double-helical elements and three loops (D, anti-codon, and T loops).
Source: Rfam
GGCGGACUGGCGCAAUGGUAGCUCGCUAGUCUCCGAAGCUAGAGGUUCUGGGUUCGAGUCCCAGGUUCGUCG